This 1036-nucleotide ribosomal RNA is filed under the name Ditylenchus environmental sample. Its description in RNAcentral is "partial 18S ribosomal RNA". It matches the Rfam family "Eukaryotic small subunit ribosomal RNA", at positions 287 to 1339 of the family's 1831-position model. The record is from RNAcentral. Lineage: Eukaryota; Metazoa; Nematoda; Chromadorea; Rhabditida; Anguinidae.
CGGCGACGUGUCUUUCAAGURUCUGCCUUAUCAACUUUCGAUGGUAGUGUAUUUGACUACCAUGGUUGUGACGGGUAACGGAGGAUAAGGGUUCGACUCCGGAGAAGGGGCMUGAGAAAUGGCCACUACGUCUAAGGAUGGCAGCAGGCGCGCAAAUUACCCACUCUCAGAAUGAGGAGGUAGUGACGAGAAAUAACGAKRCCGUUCUCUUAGAGGCCGGCAAUCGGAAUGGGUACAAUCUAAACCCUUUAACGAGUAUCUAUGAGAGGGCAAGUCUGGUGCCAGCAGCCGCGGUAAUUCCAGCUCUCAAAAUGCAUAGAAUUAUUGCUGCGGUUAAAAAGCUCGUAGUUGGAUCUGUGCCGCRGGACUCGGUCYRCCUUCGGGCGCGCACUGAGCUYCUCGGCUUUUCUGCYGGUUUUCCCGUYAUGGUUUUMAUCCGGYSGGRGSGGGUGGCUGGCGAUUUUACUUUGAACAAAUCAGAGUGCUCMACACAGGCGUUUCGCUUGAAUGUUCUUGCAUGGAAUAAUAGAAGAGGAUUUCGGUYCUAUUUUAUUGGUUUUAUAGRCUGAAAUAAUGGUUAACAGAGACMAACGGGGGCAUUCGUAUCGCUGCGUGAGAGGGGAAAUUCUUGGACCGCAGCGAGACGAACUACAGCGAAAGCAUUUGCCAAGAAKGGCUUCCUUAAUCAAGAACGAAAGUCAAAAGUUCCAAGGGGAACAAAUACCGCCCUAGUUCUGACCGUAAACCAUGCCCACUAACGAUCUGCCGGAGGAAUUUUCGCCCUGGUAGGGAGCUUCCCGGAAACCAAAGUCUUCCGGUUCCGGGGGAAGUAUGGUUGCCAAGCUGAAACUUAAAGGAAUUGACGGAAGGGCCCCCCCCGGAGUGGAGCCUGCNGCUUAAUUUGACUCACACACNGGGAAACUCACCCCGCCCGGACACCAUAAGGAUUGACAGAUUGAUAGCUUUUUCAUGAUUUGGUGGAUGGNGGUGCAUGGCCGUUCUUAGUUCGUGGAGCGAUUUGUCNGGUUUAUUCCGA